GAUUAUGGCUCAGGAUGAACGCUGGCGGCGUGCUUAACACAUGCAAGUCGAGCGAAGCACUUUAUUACGAUUUCUUCGGAAUGACGAUUUAGUGACUGAGUGGCGGACGGGUGAGUAACGCGUGGGUAACCUGCCUUAUACAGGGGGAUAACAGUUAGAAAUGACUGCUAAUACCGCAUAAGCGCACAGGAUUGCAUGAUCUGGUGUGAAAAACUCCGGUGGUAUAAGAUGGACCCGCG
Molecule: ribosomal RNA, 239 nt
Filed under: uncultured bacterium
Lineage: Bacteria
Description: partial 16S ribosomal RNA
Rfam family: Bacterial small subunit ribosomal RNA
Source: RNAcentral